UACAGAGGUGUCGAGCGUUGUUCGGAUUCAUUGGGCGUAAAGGGUGCGUAGGCGGCGCUGUAAGUCGGGUGUGAAAUCCUGAGGCUUAACCUCGGAACUGCAUUCGAUACUGCGGCGCUUGAGGACUGGAGAGGAGACUGGAAUUCAUGGUGUAGCAGUGAAAUGCGUAGAGAUCAUGAGGAAGACCAGUGGCGAAGGCGGGUCUCUGGACAGGUCCUGACGCUGAGGCACGAAGGCCAGGGGAGCAAACGGG
This 253-nucleotide ribosomal RNA is filed under the name uncultured bacterium. RNAcentral's name for it is "partial 16S ribosomal RNA". It matches the Rfam family "Bacterial small subunit ribosomal RNA", at positions 524 to 776 of the family's 1533-position model. The record is from RNAcentral.